UACAGAGGUCUCAAGCGUUGUUCGGAUUCAUUGGGCGUAAAGCGCACGUAGGCGGACUCUUAAGUCGGUGGUGAAAUCCUGGAGCUCAACUCCAGAACUGCCUUCGAUACUGAGAGUCUUGAGUCCGGGAGAGGUGAGUGGAACUGCGAGUGUAGAGGUGAAAUUCGUAGAUAUUCGCAAGAACACCAGUGGCGAAGGCGGCUCACUGGCCCGGUACUGACGCUGAGGUGCGAAAGCGUGGGGAGCAAACAGG
This 253-nucleotide ribosomal RNA is filed under the name uncultured bacterium. RNAcentral describes it as "partial 16S ribosomal RNA". It matches the Rfam family "Bacterial small subunit ribosomal RNA", at positions 524 to 776 of the family's 1533-position model. The record is from RNAcentral.